AAUUGUAGAAUUGUAAUUAAUAAUUGUGUAAUCUUGUAAGUGAAAUAAUACAGAUUAAAUAGUUUAUUCAUGGUCUGUGUGGUUUGCUUUAGAGCUUUGUGAUUUACACAUUUGAUAGAUACCUUAGCUCAUGGGAAUCAAAAGCUCUGAAUGUCUUGCAAGUCCUGUUAACACAGGUAGAAGCUGCAGAUACGGACUGCCCAUAGAGUCCAGCUCCGAACUUACUACAGAUGUGAUUCCUGUUUCAAUAAAAGCAGUGCUUCCAGUUUCUGGUUAGUACAUGAUUUUUAGGGCAGGAGUUACAAAUUGUAAGAAUAUAACCGUACUGAAACUCAGUGAGGGUUGAGCACCUAUCAUCCUAGGCUCCUUUGCAAAAUUCCAAACAAAAUCUUCGAUAGCCUGGAGCACUAUACCUCAUAUUUUGUGUGAAAAUAUUACUGUUUAAGUUAGGUUAAGCAUUUUUAGCAUGUUGUAUAUUUUAAUUAUUAGCUGAUAUAAAUGAUAAACAUUAAUUCAAAUAGAUUUCUUCGAGCAUUUUAAGUAAUACAUUUCUCUGAAGCAGUUUUGGUGUAUUUUUUUGUGUUUAUAUUUAAAUGCUUCAGUCUGCAUAGUUACUAUAUGCCAACUAGUACUUAUAUGAAUUUGUAUAUUGUCUUGUUAGAAGGAAACCCACCACCAGCCUUGCAGGAAAGGACUUUAUUGUAUUGUCUGUGGAGCUGAAAUACUGCCAAAAGCAGAGGGAAUUUUGAGAAAAGCUUGCUACAGUAAUAUUGAACUGAAAAUAAUCUGGAAACUCUUCAGAAAUACUAAUAUAAGGAGUAAAGAUUCCAUUAGUAAUUGUAUGUGUGAACUAGAUGCCAUUUCAGAAGAUGAUAAUAUGAUGUUGAUCAUCUCAGAUGCUGCAAGUCUUAGUCAUCUUAAAGAAACUUUGAAGGUGUAUCAGAUGCCAGUGAAAAAUGAAGGUAAAUCUUACUGAUUACUGAUAAACAGCACUUAACACUUGUCAAGUCCUUUAGCUUUACUUUAUAUACAACACAUUGUUUUCUUUCAUUUCCUGCAGAUGCUUUUGAUUUUGGUAACAUGUUUUUAUCUCUUGAUCUAUGUGCGAAAUCUCCUCCUGUGGAGAGGACAAGUACAAGUCUCUUGCCCCACGUAGCCUCCAAAAUAGCACUAUACAGGUUUUGCAGAUAGUUUUAAUGGAAAACAUUUUUAAGCCAAGAGAAACAUGUGAGCUUUCAAAAAGACUAUAACCUGUCUUUUGUUAAAUUGUUACGUAGGUAGAAUGUUCGAAGUUGUACUAAAGCUUUUUCAUAGGAAGUUUCCUCCCUGUAAGGGACAUGGAAUGCCAUGUUACAAACCAUGCAUUCUGCCUGUUUUCUUCUCUGUUAGCAAUUGGCUGAGUGUAGUUGCUGCAAACACUUUUCUUUUUUGUGUCAGGAGGGUCUCGGUAUUGAUUUUUGCCCAUCUACUGAUGAGUAAUUCUGACUUCAUUUUUUGUGUGAUCUUCAUCUCUCAGCAUCUUGCUUUGUUACAUCUUUGUUGAAGAGAUAGUUUGUUUAACAGUGUUUUGUUUAUUGCCACAGUGUGGUGGUGGAGUGCAUUGUUCUUUAACUUCCACACCUUUCCAUUGCUCCUACUUCACUCUGAAGUAAGUUUGAAGGAAGUCUGGUAGUUCUUUACUCCAUGUGGGUGAAAUACUCUAGUUAUUUGCUUUCUCCUUCAAGAACAUCUUUCCUUGUCAUAGCUUGUUGAAAGGAACAAUUUUAUUUCUUAAAGCAAAUGAAAUUAUUUUUUUCCUGAACGGAAAUACCAAAUCUUUCAAUGAUACCGGUAUUUCUGUGUCCCAUUGCCAAGGAUUGUGAAUGUUUCUGAAAACUGCAGGAAAUAUUUGGAAGGUGAAUCAGACAUAGAAGUGAUACUACCGUGUUGAAAGAUGUUAGUGACAACUGUAUACUAUCUUUGACCUUGAAUAAACAAGGAACAUUAUUUAAAGCUUAUGAGGAGGAGUUUGGCCAUUUUAUGGAGUAAGGAAGCUGAAGGCAGUAGAAGCUUACUGUCCGAGGCACAGCGUUUGGCUAGAAAGCAGAUAAACAGCAAAACUAUGUGGGUCAGUGGUUUUUUUCGGGAAACUGGAAAUACAGAAAAUCGGAUAUUGACAGUUGUCCUUGGCCAAGAAAAUACAUUAUAUACAUUUGUUUUCUCUUGACUGGCCUAUUCACAAGACUUACAGCCUUUGCCUUUGACCUUUUGGGAAGUUGAUGGAAAGAUUUUUUCCUUUGAGAUGCCAUCUUGUUCCCUCAACCAUCAAAUUGAGAGAGCAUUGGUUGACACACAAAAGGAGUGCCACACACAAUUUACGGUUGACUGGAAGCAGGCAGAACUCCACUGAGAUUUGUUGAGCUCUGCAUGUUUAGCCAAACACUGAAGAUGCAUACCAGUUUACCCUCCACUCCCAAAUUGCUUGGGCUCUUACGUAGUACUCUGAUCAAAAAGAAAAGGUAAGGAUAAUGAGAACAGAACCAUUUACUUAUAACAAAUUAAAAUCCAUGAAUUGGAGGUAUAGACCCAGCAGCCCCCGUGGUUCAAGCAGGGCUUUGCAGAAGCAGUGUAUUUGCUGUGAAAUGGUUCCUGGUGUCAGACCAUGAACUGUUUAAUCCUUUAGCAGCUUUCAGGUGACAGAAACCAAAAGUGAAGUACUUCCAUUUGUUCAUACGUGGGCAAUUCUAGUGUUAGGGUAGCACAAUUAAUAAUACAUGUUGGGGUUUUUUUUUUCACAAGGACUUUAUUCUAGAAGUUACUACAACUGCAGAGAUUAGUAAACAUUCUUUACCAUGUUACUGUCUGGCAGAACAAGAGCAUUACAUUUUGAAAUUUGAAGUGCAACUUGUGAUCACUUGUCUGUUUUAAAAUAUCUCUCAAUGCCUAUAUAAAGCACUUUUUCUUUCUUUUUGAAAGACUUGAAUGCCAGUUUAUCUUUAAAUGCUGUUUGGAAUGAGAAGGAAUAUUCUCUGACAAGUUACUUGCAAUGCAGGAGCUGUGUCAUUCAGUCGAUUUCUCCAUGUCCUUUGAUAGGAGCUGAGGUUACUCAUUUCAAUAAUAAAGUACAGUCAUGGGUAAGUCAAAUUAUUUUGUAUAUUAAAAUAAAUAGAAUGGCUUGUAUAGUAAAUAUUAAAAUACUAUUUCUGUAAAGUUAGAAUGAAAAUUUUAUUUUAUCUAAAUGAAUUGUUCAUGAUUCAUCUAACUUCUACCACAGAGAUCUGGAAUUAUAGAUGAGAGCUGAGUUCAGGUCACUUAAUAUAUCUGUAAUUGUCUAUACCUAAUUUGAUGCAGUGUCUAUAGUAUUACGUCUUAUGAAAAGGGACAGGAAAAUAGCGAUCCGUGUCUUUCAAGAAAGGAAAAAUAGGGCAAGACAUAUUUCCACAAGUGGUAUAGUCAGAUUUGAAUUUUCAAACAUCUAGUUUUAUGUUAUUUCUGGCACUAAAAAAAGUGUUAAUCAGAACCUGAUGGAUGAACAUGGACAAGGUCUGACAGAGUCAACAGGAAGAAAUUUAUUUAUAGGUAUUGUAUUUCUAACAAUGUUAGCAAACUAAAUUCUCAAUAGAACUCUUUGAAAUCUAGAUGAGAAAGCUGUGGGUAUUUUUACUGUAUUCUUAGUAGUGCCUUAAGCUUAAGAUAAAGACAGAGGGUGAGGCUCCAUCCUGAAUGAGCUGUGCAAGUAACCUUAGAACACCUAUGUCUUUCCUGAAUUUUCCUGCAUUUAUACUGUGGAUAUAAAUACAAUAGAAUUCAAUCAGAGAUUUUUAAGACUAAAACUUUGCCAAAAAUGGAAUAUGAUCCUUAUGUUUUGGCCUGUGUGCAUCAUUAUCAACUGUACAAGGUAUUUGAAAUGCACUAUAUGACAGAGUGAUGAUGGAACAAAGUUUAUGAAGCAUUAUACGCCGUGCAUGCUGGUAUUUCAAACACUAUUACCAAGAUUUCACGGUAUUUUAGCAUUUUUAUAUCGAAGAUAAUGAAAUGUUACACUGAGGGAAUUUAUACUGAAAGAAUAUGCAAUAAUGUGUUCCUCUGCAGUAUAAUGAAAUUAUGUUUUUGUUUUAUCUUCUUAACAGUCUCUUUCUGUACCUUUAAAAUAAGGGGCUCUGUAACACUGCCAGGAAGUCAGAAGCAUUGUGUUCCACUUCUUUGUUGCUUCCCAUGACUGGCUGUGCAAACCAAACACUGUCAGCAGUUUUAUUCAUCCUGCUAGCUAGGUAGGCAGCUGACGGGGGAACGGGCUGUCUUUCAUCCCAGGUGCGUCAGGUACAGUGUGUAAUCAGCUGGUAUUAGAUUUAAAGUGUUGUGGUUUUAUUAGUGUAAAAUAAACAAGCAUUAUGUUCUUAGCCUGCCUGCAGAUUUAACUACUCCUGUUUCUUUUAGCUAGAAAGACACUGUUAAUUGUUGCAGGUUUUCUGAGUAAGUCUCUUCCUUUCCUAUUAUUUUCUUAUAUUCUGUUUCCACCCACUAGAAAGAAAUUUUGGUAAACUUACAGGCCUGGAAGAGAAACAUAGGCUAAAAAAGACCACAUCUGGCUUUGGAGAGUCAUUCUGAAAGCUAGUGGCUUUCGGUAGAGACACAUCUAAUCUCUUAAUGCAUGUCUUUGUUUCAAGGAGAGGCUCAGGGGGAAAAAAUAUCCCAUCAUCUUCAACAGACCUGUGAAACAAUUGUCAGAACUGGCAUCUAUGCUUUGGAUCUGUUGCAAACUGGAUGCCUUAUGACUGGGUUAAUAUGCCACAUGACUUGAAUGUGAGAGCUGUAGGGGUGAGGAAGGAAGCUACUAUUUUGUGUGUGUGUGUGUAUGAGAGAGAGAGAGAAAAUAAUACUACUUAUUUAGAAAGGUAGAAUGGACUAGGGAUGAUUGAUGGUAAAUACAACUUUAAUUUUAUCAUCUCUUUGCUUUAAAUCAAAUGGCGAUUGUUUUUUUGUAAUUGGGAAUAUAUGAAUGUAAAUGAAGACAUGUAGAAUGAGUCAAAGGAGUUUGAAAUGGUGAUUUAUUAUAUGCUAUCAUAUACCAGAGCAAACACACAUGCAUUAAAGUGUAGAAGCUGUGAUUAAGUCAGUUUUAGCUCCCAGUUAUAUAUUCUUGAAUAAAAGAUCCUGCUGUUGUUGAGCAACAUAUUUGUAGAGAUAAAAUCAACAUUGUAGCUUAUACUGCUGCCUACCCUGUGUUAAAUCAUGUACAUUGUCAUGAGGUAUCAUAUGUCAUCUUAAAUUACUUCAUGUCAUGUGCUGUCUAUAAAUCAAGUACAGUUGAUUCUGGAAGGAAAGGAAUGGUUCAUUUAACAGAAAUCACAUUGCUAUAGCAAAGCAAGCUUAAAAUAGAAUCACUGGAUUUAAUAUCUGUAAUUUACUUCUAGAUUUGGUAAUCAUUUAAAGAGGCAACACGAUUUGCAUGACUUAAAUUUAAGGUGGGAUUAACAAAUUACAUUCUGCAAAUUUUUUAGCCUACUUUUUUAUCAAUUAUACAUUUAUAUUGGAAAUUAGAUUUUUAAAUUUACUGCUACGUUUCUACAAAUUCAAUUACAUCAUGUGUUUGUCAUUGACCUAGAAACCUCCAUUAACUUAUUCAGACAUUAUGCAAAAUCAGUGGUAUAUAAAUUAUUUUUCACAUUCCUUAAAAUACCCUGAAUAAUUGUAUAUUCCUGUUUGCACUUGUCUUUGUGAAAUGGCAACAACUUUAUAGAAGACAGUACUUUGGAACUUAGAAAAAAUAUUCUGGUAUUUUAAUGUGCGGGAUUCAGGGUGCUUUAAGAUCUAGCUUAGCUAAUGUAAUAUUGUCUGUAUAUUAAAAGGUGAAUGAAACUGACAAUUAAAUUUUUAAACUUAUUAGGGAGUUGUUGCUAUAACUGAUUAGACAGUCAGCUGUUGAGACAGUAGCUUUUAUAUAACAGGAUAUUGUUUUGUUCAUCAUGUUACCACAUUUGGCAAACUUUUAUCUUAAUGCGCCUAUCGGGAAUACCAGUCUGACCUCAAUCUGAGUAAAGCCUUAAUAGUCGACGUGAGGGAUGCUUGCAGGAGGUGGCACGGUCGUUUUCGCAGACUGUAUAUUUGUUAUCGCAUGUUAAUCAGAUUCAUCAUUCUGUUUAAUAAAGAUUUCAUCUGCCA
Long non-coding RNA from Falco peregrinus (peregrine falcon), 6141 nucleotides. RefSeq lists it as uncharacterized. The record is from RefSeq and is a predicted model, not a curated record. NCBI's taxonomy places the organism in Eukaryota, Metazoa, Chordata, Aves, Falconiformes, Falconidae. The transcript has 2 exons.